GCAGUCAGGAGCCUGCCUGGAGAGCAGGGAAUACUUUCAAAUGCAGCAGUCAGGAGCCCGCCUGGAGAGAAGGGAAUACUUUCAAGCGCAACAGUCAGUAGCCCGCCUGGAAAACAAGGAAGUACAGUUUAAAUUUAGCUUUCAAAUUCUUUGUCUUGUCUAUUUUGAAAUUAGGAGCCCGCCUGGAGAGCAAGGAAUACAUUCAAAUUUAGCAGUCAGGAGUCCGCUUGGAGAGUAGGGAAUACAUUUCAAGUCAGCAGUCAGGAACCCGCCUGAAUAGCAGGGAAUACAUUCAAGUUCAGCAGUCAGGAGCCCGCCUGGAGAGCAGGGAACACAUUUCCAGUCAGCAAUCAGGAGCCCAGCUGGAGAACAAGGGAGUACAAUUCAAGUUUUAGCUUUCAAGUUCUUGUUGAUAUUCGGAUCCCGCCUGGAUAGCGU
This 438-nucleotide long non-coding RNA is filed under the name Nicotiana tabacum (common tobacco). RNAcentral's name for it is "long non-coding RNA (NTAB_LNC015554)". Lineage: Eukaryota; Viridiplantae; Streptophyta; Magnoliopsida; Solanales; Solanaceae. The record is from RNAcentral.